CCCUUAACUAUUAAAAGUUUCGUUUUGGUCCCUUAACUUAUUUUUUGGUUUCGUUUUGGUCCAUUAACUCUUCCUCCGUCAACCACUUUGGUCCUUUAUGUUAGGAUGAAUGUAUUAGAGUUAAGUGACCAAAACGAAACCAAAAAAUAAGUUAAGGGACCAAAAUGAAACCAAAAAAUAAGUUAAGGGACCAAAACAAAACUUUUAAUAGUUAAGGGACAAAAACGAAAUCAAAAAGUAAGUUAAUGGACCAAAACGAAACUUUUAAUAGUUAAGGGA
RNAcentral lists this microRNA precursor (279 nucleotides) under Medicago truncatula (barrel medic). Its description in RNAcentral is "MIR2655 microRNA precursor family". It matches the Rfam family "MIR2655 microRNA precursor family". Lineage: Eukaryota; Viridiplantae; Streptophyta; Magnoliopsida; Fabales; Fabaceae. The record is from Rfam by way of RNAcentral.